AAGUGUGGUUCGGCGUCUCGCC
This 22-nucleotide microRNA is filed under the name Ixodes ricinus (castor bean tick). RNAcentral describes it as "iri-miR-X16-1-3p". Lineage: Eukaryota; Metazoa; Arthropoda; Arachnida; Ixodida; Ixodidae. The record is from RNAcentral.